GCUGGGCGCGGUGGCUCACGCCUGUAAUCCCAGCAUUUUAGGAGGCUGAGGUGGGCGGAUCACCUGAGGUCAGGAGUUCCAGACCAGCCUGACCGACAUGGAGAAACCCCAUCUCUA
This 117-nucleotide non-coding RNA is filed under the name Homo sapiens (human). The record is from Rfam by way of RNAcentral. Lineage: Eukaryota; Metazoa; Chordata; Mammalia; Primates; Hominidae.